This 365-nucleotide ribosomal RNA is filed under the name uncultured bacterium. RNAcentral describes it as "partial 16S ribosomal RNA". It matches the Rfam family "Bacterial small subunit ribosomal RNA", at positions 338 to 700 of the family's 1533-position model. The record is from RNAcentral.
CCUACGGGUGACAGCAGUGAGGAAUAUUGGUCAAUGGCCGUAAGGCUGAACCAGCCAAGUAGCGUGAGGGAAGACUGCCCUAUGGGUUGUAAACCUCUUUUAUGAGGGGAGAAAGGGGGCCACGUGUGGAUGUUUGCAGGUACCGCAUGAAUAAGGACAGGCUAAUGCCGUGCCAGCAGCCGCGGUAAUACGGAAGGGCCGGGCGUUAUCCGGAUUUAGUGGGGUGAAAGGGAGCGUAGGCGGGUCUUUAAGCGUGCCGGGAAAUUUUGUGGCUCAACCAUGAGAGUGCGGCGCGAACUGGCGACCUUGACUGCGCUGCAGGCAGGCGGCAUUCGUGGUGUAGCGGUGACAUGCUUAGAUAUCAC